Molecule: long non-coding RNA, 1272 nt
Filed under: Ricinus communis (castor bean)
Lineage: Eukaryota; Viridiplantae; Streptophyta; Magnoliopsida; Malpighiales; Euphorbiaceae
Description: long non-coding RNA (RCOM_LNC003270)
Source: RNAcentral
UCACAUCUUUGCACCCUUUUCAUAUUUGAAAAUUGCUCUAAUGACAUUAAAAAUAUGAGAAAUAUUCCCUUUGCUGGAGUACAGAAAUGCUAAGUAUUGCAUCAAAUCUUUCACCAAUUUACAAUGAUUCACUGACUGAACCACCUUAUUGUCCAUCGAAUUGCAUAUCAUUAAAUGCAGUCGAGCAUCAUCUCUCAACCAAGCUUGUUUUCUAUCAUCAGUGGGAGGAUCAUUAGUUAAAUGAUAACCUUUUUCAACACUCAUUAGAUAUAAUUCCACAAUCUAAUUUCAGCCCAAAUAAUUUGUACUAUCAAAUCUGUCUUCUAUAAUUUUUGUUACUGCAGGAAUCACUUUCAACACAAUAUUCUUUUUCUCAGACAUUCUCAAGCAAAGAAGAAUUCAAAAUAGGGGUAGAAACACAGAAUAGAAACUAAACAAGAAUUGAAUAAAUAUCUGGAUAUGAAGAGAAAUCUCACAACCACGUAAAUUUGAAAGGAACUGAAUGUGAAGGAUGAAAGUGGGAGUAAGGGCGACUCAUGCGAAGCUGACCGCUGUGACUAACGCGCAGGGACUCCGGCAACCAAACUCUGGACAGUGACUAAUUGGAGGGUGGCGCACCUCUUGGUAUAGAUGGUGACAAUAACCAGAAGUUAGAAGAUGAUAAACUGAGAAAUCAGACCUUGGAUCGUCUGAAACAAAAAUGCCAGAAAACUCAAAAGUCAAAAAAAAAAUUGAAAUAGGAUUUCAGUGCUCUGAUACCAUAUUAUAGUAUAAAGAGAUGAAAGAAAUAUUUUGUGUGUAUUGAUCAACAAAAUAUACAGGUAUUUAUACAAAAUUAUAAGGUAUAAAUUAGAAAAUAUUAUAAUCUAAUUCCUACAAGUCAGCCCUAUAAUCAAGCUCUGUAAUCUCUACACAUCAUCCCUAUAAUCAAGCUCUAAUUAUUUCUGUCCUAAUCAACAUUAUAGCUGUAAUAUAUGUCAAAGCCGUAAGCUGGUGAGGCAAGUCAGUUGAUGAAGGUGAGUGUUGGUCCCAGAAAGGAUGCGAUUAACUUGGUGAUUGUUUUCUAUUUAACGGUCAUAAAUGAUCUGACCAACAUAUCAAGUAUUAUUAUAAUGCACUAGUUAGGAAAUUGUCUUUUCAUUUUGCACGUGAUUCAUUCCUGUGAGGAUAGAUAAUAUUUUCCCGCUGCUUCAAUUAGCUGCAUUGAUUUAGCUUUCAUUGUUUAGUGGUAGUUCUAUAUCCUUUCAUUAAUUGAAAACUAAUCUUUUAUGC